This 402-nucleotide ribosomal RNA is filed under the name Triticum aestivum (bread wheat). RNAcentral describes it as "partial small subunit ribosomal RNA". The record is from RNAcentral. Lineage: Eukaryota; Viridiplantae; Streptophyta; Magnoliopsida; Poales; Poaceae.
AUGAGCUUCCAGGAGGACAGGGUGGUGGAUUUCAGAUAUCUGCAGGAUAACCUUACAUAUCAGCAGCAAUGCAGAAGUGAACUGCUGGCUGAUAUGAAGGCACAGAUGGCAAAGAAAGAUGCAGAGUUUGAGAAGCUUAAGCAGAAUUAUGAAGUGCUACUGAACCUGACAAGAGCACAAGCAACAGUCAUCCAGAACUUGAAGUUGAAGCAUAUUAAAGACAAGCAAUUGUUUAGUGAAGAUAAGAUGAACUUGGAGUUGAAGAAUGCAGAGCUCACAAAGUCUGAGGAGAAGCUCACCCAAGAGAAGCUAGAGUUGAAGCUUCAGAUUGCUGAGCUGAUGAAGGCAGAGGAGAAGCUGAAGGAGAAGAUCAAGGGGAUCCAGGCCAUCUUAGAGAAGUGA